GCCAGCCUAGCCAAGUAGUUAAGGCGGGGGACUGCAGAUCCUCUUUGCAUGAGUGCAAAUCUCAUGGCUGGCUCCA
RNAcentral lists this transfer RNA (76 nucleotides) under Candidatus Lokiarchaeum ossiferum. Its description in RNAcentral is "tRNA-Cys". It matches the Rfam family "tRNA". From Rfam's summary of the family: Transfer RNA (tRNA) molecules are approximately 80 nucleotides in length. Their secondary structure includes four short double-helical elements and three loops (D, anti-codon, and T loops). Further hydrogen bonds mediate the characteristic L-shaped molecular structure. tRNAs have two regions of fundamental functional importance: the anti-codon, which is responsible for specific mRNA codon recognition, and the 3' end, to which the tRNAs corresponding amino acid is attached (by aminoacyl-tRNA synthetases). tRNAs cope with the degeneracy of the genetic code in two manners: having more than one tRNA (with a specific anti-codon) for a particular amino acid; and 'wobble' base-pairing, i.e. permitting non-standard base-pairing at the 3rd anti-codon position. The record is from RNAcentral. Lineage: Archaea; Promethearchaeati; Promethearchaeota; Promethearchaeia; Promethearchaeales; Promethearchaeaceae.